Molecule: long non-coding RNA, 374 nt
Organism: Oreochromis aureus
Lineage: Eukaryota; Metazoa; Chordata; Actinopteri; Cichliformes; Cichlidae
Source: Ensembl
CAGGAAGCAGCUCACCUGUGUGUCCGUGUUUAGUGUCCAGGUGUGGAGUGGAGCUUGUUGUUGUUGGUGUGAAGAAACUGUAUUCAUUGUCUUCUACAGUAGAGCGGGACAUUUGAUUUACUCUCAGCGGAAUUGACCGGAGAAGGCACCAGUUCAUGCACUGCACUGGCCCGCACCACGAUUAGUAUAAGGCACAUUUCACGAAGCAGAACGCAGUCUUCAGAGAUAUCCACGUGAACGCUGUGAUACUGACCUUCAGUCCGAAGAAGAAACCCAGACCAGUCUUAAAAGAAAGCACAAACCAAAUGCCCUGUACACAUAUACGGACUCAGAGGAUGAGCAGCCUACAAAAAAUGGUUUCCCCAGGCCCUUCG